UUAAGGAUUUUUUUUUCCCAUCCUUUAACGGUACUCAAAUUGCGAUCUUGAGAUUUAAGAUUUUAUUCUCAUUCCUAAACGGUAUUCAAAUUGUAGCCCUGAGAUUUAGAAUUUUAUUCUCGUCCCUCAACAGUACUCAAAUUGUAGCCCUGAGAUUUAGGAUUUUAUUCAUCGCUCAACUGUACUCAAAUUGCAACCGUGAGAUGAGAGCAAAUGGCCGUUAUUUCUCUAUUUUACCGUUAGAAAAAAGCACGAUUUCGCUUCUAUAUAUGGCAGUUUAUCUGAGAAGCAGGAGCAGAUUGUUUCUUUUCUAAUUUUUGUUUUCGUUUUUAUGGCAUGGCCAUGCCUCCUAUUUCUUUUAUUCGUUUUGUGUGCUUGGAUUUUUUCUUUUUCAAUUUUCAUGGUCUGUGGAUGGUGAUUUUUGAAUGAGGCACGGAGGAGGGUAACAAUGAGGAGAAGUAUACAUCCAAGCGAGUUGCAGAGAAGAAAAUAUUGCAUGAUAUAGCUUGAAGAAAGUAUUGUAAGUUGAGCAUCUAAACUGCACUUUUCUCUGAGUUUCGUCCUUCUUUGUAUGGUUUCUUUCUUCAUAUUCAUAUAUAGAAGAUUGGAAGAAUUUUUUAUUUACUUGAUUUCAAUAAUUUGCUUGACUCUGUUUUUUAUUGUCCUGUUCACAUUGUGCAUAUUUCUUUAUGGGCUCUUUGUGUUUGUUAUGUUUGUGUCCACAUUGAUCUGUUAUUGAAUGUUCUUAUUCAUUCAUUUGAUUGUAGGCAUGAUAUAGCUUGAAAUGAUAAUUCUCACUUUGCUUCACUGUUUUCUUCAUUUUGACCCCAGGCUAACACUGUCAAUUGCUUUGGCGUGUACUCGUCGUUUGGUUUGGCUUUUUUAUAUUUAUGCUCAAAGUUGCUUUGGACCAAGAUGAUUCACUUGGUCAUAUAUAGAGCUUAUAAAUAGGAAUUAUAAAGUUUCUUGUGUCCAAGGCUCGUUGCGGAAUUCUCUUUCAGACCCAAGAUGUUUUAUCAUUGUAAAACAAACAGAAAUUAAGCUUAAGAUAAUGACGAAAUAGGAACAAAAUUGGAUCAGAUAGAUAAGUUACCCAUAAGGCUCCUCCCCACCAUGCUUCAGAGUGUUGCCAAUGCCCUUGUAGAGAACACGAUUUGAAAGCUUAAAUAAUUCAAUACCAAACAUUUUUGCCAAACUGUCAUAAAGUUGUUCAUAACUUCAUAUGUACUGAACUUCUUCAGUCUCACUAAAGACUUUGCAUUGGACAAUUGUAUCCACUGAUAGCUUUCCUCCCAUGUUCUUCUUCAAGCUUAGGAAAGCUGAUUGAUCUUUGAAACUCUGUAAAGCUCUAAUAUGGUUGGUGCCAACAUCACUGCAGCUUUCACCGUGCUGAGACCUUAAACAUUUUCAAUCCAUCUGUCCUUUCCCUGACUGGUCCCUGAAACGUAUCUAUUUCUUGGUUACCAUCACUUAGAUGUUGCUUGUAAGCCUAAGUGAACCUGUGUCUUUGAAGCUCGGAAAGCCUAGCCCAUCUGGAGAGUUAUUUCCAUCUUGCUGCUGCUUUUGGGAUUUUGGUGACUGUACCGUAUGAAUAGGCUUCCCUAACAGCAGAAAGAAUGUGGUCUUAGGGGUUGAGCUACCAGUAUACUUAUUACCUUUUUUCUCACUUUUUGAUGAAUUCCCCAUGGUCAGUGAACAAGAGAGACCGUUCCGGACCUUUGAUUAUUCAAUAGAAAAGCUCCCUAUACUGAGAUCUGUGCAAACAAGAGCCCUAGCCCCUGGAUCGUGGUGGUGCAGGUUAUUGGAUUUUGUUUUGACGUAUGUCUGAGAAACCACUUCCGUAAAUAUUGUCAUGCCUGGCUCCCUGCUUGCCUGCAGUACAUUGUUUGAAAGACUCUGCCAUUAGUUGAUUUGCCCUAGCACAUCAUUGGUGAGAGUGGCCAUUUGGAGUCUCAUGAUUCCUCCUUGGCCCUCAACAUGAAACUCAAGAGGCUGUGUAACUCGGAGCUUCUUUUUAAGGAGCAUAAAAGGUGUCAUUUGGAUGGUAGGGAUGUUGGAAACAACUUCUACCAACCAAGGACUAACUCGUUUCACAUUUUUUAACAAAUCAAGCUCAUCCCAUCCCACCUGUUUCACAAACAUCCAAGCUAUGAGAACGUACAAGUAUCAAAAAGUAGAGCUCAGAACUUCCAAUUUGUUCUGGGUCAACACUUCCCAUUUCUACUAUUUUAAUCUAAAUUCGUAGGGAAGCCAAAAAAAAAUAUAAUAGAUUCUAAAAAUGAUGAUUUUCGGCAGUCAAUUAUUCAGCACACAAGUUCAAAUUUCCAUAAUAUCUAUUCCAGGCAUGUGACUUGAUAAAUAAAACCUACAGCCAACAUUACUCCAGAUACUUGUUAAAUAACUUGUAUUUGUUUACAAUUACUUGUGUCAUGCUUACUUUAGGUCAAAAAUACGCUGAGAAAAAUAAAUCAGAAGAUCUUAGGGCUCAUAAAAAACUUUCCAGACACUCUCAUAAGUUAUAAGAAAUAAUUUUAUAUGUAACUUAAGUCAAUUCUGAAUAUAGUGUGCUUGUUGGGUUUGCAUUAUUGUCGCUCUUUUUGCCAAAGCCUGACUCAAUUGUUGGUGCUUCAGCUUGCGAAGUUUUCAACAAUUUCAAUUAAUACCUCAACCCUUGCAACAAUCUACUUUUUAAAAUAAGUUACUUGCCUGCAUCUUUGAAGAAAAAGAGAAGGUUAGUGGAGCUAGAGCCUGCAUCUUUGAAGAAAAAGAGAAGGUUAGUGGAGCUAGACCCUACUACUUCAUUUCAUAGAGAGUUCAUGUGUAUAAAAGAGUUAUGCGUUUGGAGGUCAUCCUGAGAAAGAAAAUAAAUGAGACAUAAUUGGCCUUUUUGUAUAUAAAUUCAUAAAAUAUCAGCCCAGGAGAAGUUGUAAAUUAUUGGGGUCAAAAGGAUCUCAAAUUUGACUAUUUUUAAGAAGAAAGGAUGGGAUCGGAUCUUUUGGAAAUACAUUGCAACCUGCUAUUGGCAUAAGUUCAAAGUGCAAUCACAAAUGCCAAAAAACUAUAAUGUAUGCUUUUUAUUGACCAAUGUAACCAUUUAGAGCCAGCAGCCAGCUUUGAGAAACAAAGCAUAUUGGACAUCAUCAGGCUCAUUUUUACAGAAGAGUAUCAUGGGUAAAUUUCAUAAGCAGAACAUUGUUAACCUAUCUGAACAUGACAAGCAUCCAGAAGCUGAGAGGCAUCAAAAUAGGCACUGUUAAUUAAGAAUUUAAAUUUUGGGUUUAAAAACAGUUAAGACAUUGAGUAUUAAAGAGAGAGCCAAAUUAAGUCUGUUGGCAACACAGAUGUCAUCCAAUGUAAGGAUAUAUUUACAUCAAAAUUGUGAGGAUGAUAGAGAGCUCUACCUAUUGAGCAUCUGACUCUGUCCGAGGAUGUGUAAAAUUAGACAUAAUGUUUUAGAGAGAAUAUUGAGCAGCACAAAAUUUAGACAUAGCUGACUACAGUAAGUCGUGUGUGUUGGCUUGUAGUGGAUCUUUGGCUUGCACACUGAUAAUGUUAAACCCAUGUGAUAGAUCCCAUUGAUUUCAAUCCUCAUCAUUCUGGAUUCCUAAGCCUCAGUAAACCCUGAAUUACUCAGACUCACAUUGGCUAUCCAAAUGUCAUAUUUUAGGAAAAAAUUGAGAAUCUCACUGCCAAACUAAGAUUUCCAUGUUUUCUAUUUGAAUUAUAAAUUGAAGUCCUUAAGUCUAAAGUCAUAAUAAAACCUAUAGACUGAUAAGUUUAUUUAUAGUUAGAGUCAGCAUUUAUCACUAGAUUUAAAGUCUCUGUAAGACACAAUAUAUAAGGAUGUUCACAUACAGAUUAUGAUGUUAUCAUGUUAUCCAUGGAAUUAAAAACUUGCAUACAUUCAGUUUAGGGGCUUGCAUCUGGAUCCUUGACUGAUAAUAAACUACAAAACUAAGAUUUUAUAGAGUCUGCCUCACCGCCUAACAUAACUCUCAGGAUAUCAAAUUCACAUACAGGACGUGUAUCCAUGGAUUUUAAGUGUUUAUUAAGUUUUAAUUAUUUCACUAUUUCCAGUCUGAAUUCUAAAGCAUGCAAUAACUUCGAAUUGAUUCUCACACUCUCAUUUUAAUUUCAAAACAACAAUAUUAUGUCAGAAGUAGGAUCCUGAAUGCAUUCCACAUUACCAAUGUCAAUUUUAUAUUGUUUGUGGUUCAAUUUGGUGUUGUUAUUUGUAGGUUUUUAUGAUUUGCAAAUCAAUCUCAGGUUAAUUUGGGUUUUUGUAAAUUUGAAUAGUUUGAGUUUAUGAGCACAUAAGGUUUUGGUAAUGUACUUAUUUUCACACAGUUUUUAACAUUGAUUUUAACCAUUCCAAGCAUGAUUUCAAAAAUAAUGUACACUUCUUAGAAUGAAAAAGUAUUGUAGAAUUAAUUUCAAGAUUUAUCUAGUUUUAGAGGAUUUAUUGUUCAUUUAGGACCUACACAAGCAUCUCAAGACUAUGAAUUAUGCUUCAGCUUUUGAACAAACCACUUCAUUUCACUAUGAGAAAGAUAUCAAUCGUCAAAGUAAUCCAUAAUGUUUCUUGUAAAAUGUUCUCCUAAAAUUUACAGUUAGUCACAUUUAAAAUGCUCAAAAAUAAUUUUUUGUCAUUCAACUACUAUUGCAUGUUGCAACUAUGUGUUUGCUAUGGAAACACGGAAAAAAUUCCUUUGGCUUGCCAGCGAUAUGCCAGAGACUGACUCUAUAAAGCAAAUUAAACUAUAUCAACCUUUAUCUAGAUCUGGAGUUGAAUACAGUCAUGGGACUUGCAUGAAAUAUUUGCCUUUUCUUUAUCUAAUUUUCAUCAAUGCUUGACCUUAAUCUUACUUCUUUCUUCAUAUUAUGGGAAAAUAACUAGAACAUAGACACAUUUCUUACUUCUUGCUUUACUUGUCUCCAUAAACAAGGAGUGAAAGAUCAUUUUCUUUGUUUAGAUAGCUAAACACCAUUGGUAUUUUAAAGAUUGCAGAGGGGUUUCUUCAUUAGCAUUCUUCAUAAGAGAUUAUGGUUUAUUUUUUUGUUUGCUCAAGGUGCUGGAAUUGUUUAUUUUUAAUUCUUGGUCUAUGUGAAUUCAAGAAGUCUUCCUGAGUUUGCUCUGUGCACUACUUGUAUUUUGCUUGCCUAUGUGAUGUUUUGUUCACAUUUUGCAUGUUCCUUUUUGGGCUCUUUGUGUUUAUUGGUCCAUUAUUGAAUGUUCUCUUGAUUCAUGUGAGUUUUAUUUUCUUGUUUUCUCAGGGUACAUAUUGUAGGUUGAGCAUCUAAUUGAGCAUAUAAACUGCGCUUUAUUACUCAAUCUAAAAUACACUUUUUUCUCAUAGUUUUGUCCUUCCCUGCAUGUUUGUGUUCCUUAAUAUCUAUAACUAGAAGAUCGGAAGUUCAAUGUUCUGCUUGACUCUGUUAUGUCGGGUUUUCACAUUGUGCUCUUUGUGUUUAUGUCGGUUUUCACAUUAAAUGUUUGUAUUAAUUCAUGUAAAUGUAGGUACGAUAUAACUAGCAGAUGGGAAAGCUUUAUUUACUUGAGUUCAAUGUUCUGCUUGACUCUGUUAUGUCGGUUUUCCACAUUGUGCUCUUUGUGUUCAUGUCGGUUUUCACAUUAAAAUUUUAAAUGUUUGUAUUAAUUCAUGUAAAUGAAAGCACGAUAUAGCUCGAAAUGAUCAUUUUUACUUUGCUUGAAGACUCCCCUAUUCGCUGGUGUCUUCACUUUGACCCCAAGCUAACAUUAUGUUUAUUGAUUUGGCAUGUACUCCUUGUUUGGUCAUGCCCAGAGUUGGUUUGGACAGAACUGACUCACUUGCUCAUACCCUGCCUUAAAUGCCUUGCUUGCAUACAUAGAGCUUCUAUAGACUAACUUUGUAAAGCGUUAAUCACCAUGUCCAGUAUUGCAGCCAACUCAAACAUCAUUCGCUAAUUCACACAUUGAUAAUAAAGCUCAUAUUGAUUUGAUUAACUUCACAACUUAAACAAAUUGAACUAUCAAAACCAAUAAAUCUAUUUCUGAAAUUUUCAUACAUAAACAACUCUUCCUGUCGAUUACAUGCUACCACUACAAGUUUAUGGAAUUUUAAAGUUUGUUUUCCCUUUCUUGACACAUCCUCUACAUUGGAAUUCCCUUCCUUGAAUUCUAAUUAUUGGAUGAUGUAUUUAAAUCUGCAACAUAUAAUCUGAAACGACUACUCCACAUAAUGCUCUGCUCUUGUUUUCAAAAAUCCUCUACAUUGGAAUUCCCUUCCUUGAAUUCUUUGCUUAUAACUGCUGACUCGAACUUUCUUUCCUCUGCUCACCGCACGUACUCCCUUCCUGUGCAUUUCUCACUCUCAGUGUUUUUAAUCUCCGACUUAUACUUCAGCGUGGUCCUCUCUCCUUCCAAAAUCUGCAUCUCUUGUUUUUAAAACAAAUUAGCUCUGCUGCUGCGUACACUUCCUUACCCAUUCCUCUCCAUUUUCUUUAGCUUUUAUCCGCAAUUAAGAUUUUUCAUUUACUUUGCAGAGUCUCUCAUAUCACCUGCACACUCCCUCUUAUUUGUUUUGAUGCACUUUCUCCUUUCCUCUGCACUCACGCGGGACUCUUCUCCCCUCACAUGCUAUGCGGUCAGCCUUCUAUCCCAUCUAGAAAAGAGCUAUUGUGUGUGUCUUGUCAUCUAUUUUUAUAUGAUUAAAAUGUGAGUGGCAUCUAAAAUGAUAAAGAGUAAUCUGUAUUGAAAAUGACACUUUCCACAGCAUUUUUAGGGAUGGCAGGGAACAUGUUUCAGGAUGGCAAUCCAAAAAACCAUUUCUUAAGGGUGGUGAGGGACAUUUAUAUAUAUAUAAAGACACUCAAAUUUUUACAAGUUAAUAGACAGAAAUAUAAGAAGACACUGUUAGAAUGAUGUGGGGUGAUGUCUACAGAAACCUGCACAGCAAAAAAUUUGUAAGUAUUUCUCACUAAUUUUUACAAGUUAAUAGACAGAAAUAUAAGAAGACACUGUUAGAAUGAUGUGGGGUGAUAUCUACAGAAACUUGCACACCAAAAAAUUUGUCACUGAUUAUAAUUAUUCUAAUGCCAUAUCAAAAAUUUUGAAAUUUGAAACUUGGAAUUAAAGAUGAAAAAUAGGUCAAAAAUUCCAAUUAUUGUUGUUAGUGUUUAUUGCUAUAGAACUUAUAUCAUUACCUGUGAAUCUGAAUCAUAAUACAUUUAUUGUUGUCACUGCUGACAUGAUUAAAUUUAUUUAUAUUAUAUUGCUGUCAUGAUAUACUUAUUGUUGCUGUUAUGAUGUUGUUAUGUUAUGCAAAUAAUAGAACACGGUGGGGUGUGAUGUUAAUGCUCUGGCUCUCAAUAGGUAAUCAAAGUCAAAUUCACUUUCCUGAAUCUUUGGACUUUUGUUUUCUUAAAUUCACUUUCCUGAAUCUUUGGACUUCUGUUAUUUUUUUGUUGUCAUUCUAUUUUUGUUUGGCAUGGUCGUGUUUUUUUUGUUUUGUUUUGAAAUUUUUUUGCAUUUUUCUUUCAUAUUUUAUGUUUCUACUUGUUUUUCAUGUUGUUUUGACUUAAUAUUAUUUUUAAAGUAGGUUAUAAAUUAUUUUUAAAGUAGUUUGACAUUGGUUUUUCAUUUUCAAUUGUUAGUGUCAAUAUUACACAAUAUUACAGGCAUUGUAAAAUUUGAUGAAAAUAAAUAUUUUUGAAGGUUUUUAAGAUUCAAUUAAUUUUUUCAUGUUGUUUGAGUAUUAGCAUUCAAAAGAUUUGAAUAUUAUAGAAUGCUUCUACUUAGAACUAGAAACAUUUAUGAUCUAAUCUUUUGUUUCUCUUUGAAGGUUAUUGUAGUGCUUCCUAAAAUAGUCUCUAAGUAAUACUCAAAUUAAAGUCAUCUACCAAUCUUUCUGUUAUAGUUUUAUUUUAAUAAUAUACUAAAUGUUGCAUCUUUUAUUGACAAUCGAUUUAAAUUUAAACUAUAAUUGAGGCUGGUUGUUUGAAUGUCAAUGUCAAAAAAUGUUGCGGAAGCUUUUGAAACUAAAAUACGAGAAAAUGUUUAACUUUUUGAAUUGGUUGUUGAAGUUGAUUUACUUCAAUAAAUGUAAUAUGUAAACUAUUUUUCUCUUAAAUACAAUAACUAUUUUGGUCA
Molecule: long non-coding RNA, 8131 nt
Organism: Cryptomeria japonica (Japanese cedar)
Lineage: Eukaryota; Viridiplantae; Streptophyta; Pinopsida; Cupressales; Cupressaceae
Exons: 2
Source: RefSeq, a predicted model, not a curated record